GCGUGAGUGAUGAAGGCCCUAGGGUCGUAAAGCUCUUUCGCCAGGGAUGAUAAUGACAGUACCUGGUAAAGAAACCCCGGCUAACUCCGUGCCAGCAGCCGCGGUAAUACGGAGGGGGUUAGCGUUGUUCGGAAUUACUGGGCGUAAAGCGCGCGUAGGCGGAUUAAUAAGUUGGGGGUGAAAUCCCGGGGCUCAACCCCGGAACUGCCUCCAAAACUGUUAGUCUUGAGUUCGAGAGAGGUGAGUGGAAUUCCGAGUGUAGAGGUGAAAUUCGU
Molecule: ribosomal RNA, 275 nt
Filed under: uncultured bacterium
Lineage: Bacteria
Description: partial 16S ribosomal RNA
Rfam family: Bacterial small subunit ribosomal RNA
Source: RNAcentral